This 292-nucleotide ribosomal RNA is filed under the name uncultured bacterium. RNAcentral describes it as "partial 16S ribosomal RNA". It matches the Rfam family "Bacterial small subunit ribosomal RNA", at positions 505 to 796 of the family's 1533-position model. The record is from RNAcentral.
GUGUCAGCAGCCGCGGUAAUACGAAGGGGGCUAGCGUUGUUCGGAAUUACUGGGCGUAAAGCGUGCGCAGGCGGCCAUCCAAGUCAGUGGUGAAAGCCCGGAGCUCAACUCCGGAAUUGCCAUUGAAACUGUUUGGCUCGAGUACGAGAGAGGUGAGUGGAAUUCCCAGUGUAGAGGUGAAAUUCGUAGAUAUUGGGAAGAACACCGGUGGCGAAGGCGGCUCACUGGCUCGUAACUGACGCUCAUGCACGACAGCGUGGGGAUCAAACAGGAUUAGAUACCCUGGUAGUCC